AUGGCUGUCGUCAGCUCGUGUCGUGAGAUGUUGGGUUAAGUCCCGCAACGAGCGCAACCCCCGUCCUAUGUUGCCAUCAUUAAGUUGGGGACUCAUAGGAGACUGCCGGUGACAAACCGGAGGAAGGUGGGGAUGACGUCAAGUCAUCAUGCCCCUUAUGUCCAGGGCUACACACGUGCUACAUUGGCGCAUACAAAGGGCAGCAAUACCGCGAGGUGGAGCAAAUCCCAUAAAGUGCGUCUCGGUUCGGAUUGGAGGCUGAAACUCGCCUCCAUGAAGGUGGAGUUGCUAGUAAUCGCAGAUCAGCAAUGCUGCGGUGAAUACGUUCCCGGGCCUUGUACACACCGCCCGUCACACCACGAAAGCGAGUAACACCCGAAGCCGGUGGCCUAACCGCAAGGAGGGAGCCGUCGAAGGUGGGACCCGUGAUUGGGGUGAAGUCGUAACAAGGUAGCCGUAGCGGAAGCUGCGGCUGGAUCACCUCCUUUCUAGGGAGAUUUCUCUAGAACGUCGACCGGGCUCCCCGCCGACACCUGUAUUUGUCGGUGGGCACGCUGCUCAGUUUUGAGAGACCACCACGGAAGAACUCCGUGGUGUGCCUCGGUGGACCUUGAAAACUGCACAAGGCUGAAAAUCAGAAUCCGCAUCCGCGGAUUUUGGGGUAUUUAAUUUCGACCCGUACACUUUGGUGUGCGGGUUGUAUCACCGUCAAGAUAUUAAGAGUUUACGGUGGAUGCCUUGGCACCAGGAGUCGAUGAAGGACGUGGACGGCUGCGAUAAGCCGCGGUUAGGCGCUGAACAGCCUUUGACCCGCGGAUUUCCGAAUGGGGAAACCCGG
This 838-nucleotide small RNA is filed under the name uncultured Solirubrobacterales bacterium. RNAcentral's name for it is "bacterial SSU rRNA". The stretch from base 1 to 488 matches the Rfam family "Bacterial small subunit ribosomal RNA", at positions 1045 to 1533 of the family's 1533-position model. Lineage: Bacteria; Bacillati; Actinomycetota; Thermoleophilia; Solirubrobacterales. The record is from RNAcentral.